GUUGUGGCUCAGCGGUAGAGUGCUCGCCUAGCAUGUGCAAGGUCCUGAGUUUGAUCCUCAGCAUUACA
RNAcentral lists this transfer RNA (68 nucleotides) under Marmota monax (woodchuck). RNAcentral's name for it is "tRNA.Ala". The record is from RNAcentral. Lineage: Eukaryota; Metazoa; Chordata; Mammalia; Rodentia; Sciuridae.